UAGAGUUUGAUCCUGGCUCAGAACGAACGCUGGCGGCGUGCCUAAGACAUGCAAGUCGUACGGAAAGGCCCCCUUCGGGGGGCACUCGAGUGGCGCACGGGUGAGUAACGCGUGGGUAAUCUGCCUUCGGGUCUGGGACAACCCCGGGAAACUGGGGCUAAUACCGGAUGAGACCACGGACCCUUCGGGGUCUGCGGAAAAAGAUGGCCUCUCCUUGGAAGCUAUCGCCUGUCGAUGAGCCCGCGUCCCAUUAGCUUGUUGGUGAGGUAACGGCUCACCAAGGCUUUGAUGGGUAGCUGGUCUGAGAGGAUGAUCAGCCACACUGGAACUGAGACACGGUCCAGACUCCUACGGGAGGCAGCAGUCGGGAAUUUUGGGCAAUGGGCGAAAGCCUGACCCAGCAACGCCGCGUGAGGGAUGAAGGCCCUCGGGUCGUAAACCUCUGUCGGGAGGGAAGAACGGUUGCCAUUCGAAUAGGUUGGCAGCCUGACGGUACCUCCAAAGGAAGCACCGGCUAACUCCGUGCCAGCAGCCGCGGUAAUACGGAGGGUGCGAGCGUUGUUCGGAAUCAUUGGGCGUAAAGCGCGUGUAGGCGGCUUGGCAAGUCGGAUGUGAAAUCCCGGGGCCCAACCCCGGAACUGCACUCGAAACUGCCUCGCUAGAGUCCCGGAGAGGAAGGCGGAAUUCCCGGUGUAGAGGUGAAAUUCGUAGAUAUCGGGAGGAACACCAGCGGCGAAGGCGGCCUUCUGGACGGUGACUGACGCUGAGACGCGAAAGCGUGGGGAGCAAACAGGAUUAGAUACCCUGGUAGUCCACGCCGUAAACGUUGGGUGGACUAACUGUUGGGCGGGUUUCCGCUUAGUGGUGCAGCUAACGCAAUAAGUUGACCGCCUGGGGAGUACGGCCGCAAGGCUAAAACUCAAAUGAAUUGACGGGGGCCCGCACAAGCGGUGGAGCAUGUGGUUUAAUUCGAUCCAACGCGAAGAACCUUACCUACCCUUGACACAUACAGAGAACUUUCCAGAGAUAGAUUGGUGCCUUCGGGAGCUCUGAUACAGGUGCUGCAUGGCUGUCGUCAGCUCGUGUCGUGAGAUGUUGGGUUAAGUCCCGUAACGAGCGCAACCCUUAUCCUUAGUUGCUACCAUUUAGUUGGGCACUUUAAGGAGACUGCCGGUGAUAAACCGGAGGAAGGUGGGGAUGACGUCAAGUCAGCAUGGCCUUUAUGUCUGGGGCUACACACGUGCUACAAUGGCCGGUACAAACCGUCGCGAGCCCGCGAGGGGGAGCUAAUCGGAGAAAGCCGGUCUCAGUUCGGAUUGCAGGCUGCAACUCGCCUGCAUGAAGUUGGAAUCGCUAGUAAUCGCGGAUCAGCACGCCGCGGUGAAUACGUUCCCGGGCCUUGUACACACCGCCCGUCACAUCACGAAAGCUGGCUGUACUAGAAGUCGCCGAGCUAACCCGCAAGGGAGGCAAGCGCCUAAGGUAUGGUUGGUGAUUGGGGUGAAGUCGUAACAAGGUAACCGUA
Molecule: ribosomal RNA, 1525 nt
Filed under: uncultured prokaryote
Description: partial 16S ribosomal RNA
Rfam family: Bacterial small subunit ribosomal RNA
Source: RNAcentral